CCUACGGGUGGCAGCAGUGAGGAAUAUUGGUCAAUGGGCGUAAGCCUGAACCAGCAAAGUCGCGUGAGGGAUGAAGGUUCUAUGGAUCGUAAACCUCUUUUAUAAAGGAAUAAAGUGUGGGACGUGUCCUGUUUUGUAUGUACCUUAUGAAUAAGGAUCGGCUAACUCCGUGCCAGCAGCCGCGGUAAUACGGAGGAUCCGAGCGUUAUCCGGAUUUAUUGGGUUUAAAGGGUGCGUAGGCGGCCUGUUAAGUCAGCGGUGAAAGUCUGUGGCUCAACCAUAGAAGUGCAGUUGAUACUGGGAGGCUUGAGUAUAUUUGAGGCAGGCGGAAUGCGGGGUGUAGCGGUGAAAUGCUUAGAUAUAACGCAGAACCCCGAGUGCGAAGGCAGCCUGCCAAGCCAUGACUGACGCUGAUGCACGAAAGCGUGGGGAUCAAACAGGAUUAGAUACCCGAGUAGUC
RNAcentral lists this ribosomal RNA (460 nucleotides) under uncultured bacterium. RNAcentral describes it as "partial 16S ribosomal RNA". It matches the Rfam family "Bacterial small subunit ribosomal RNA", at positions 338 to 795 of the family's 1533-position model. The record is from RNAcentral.